Molecule: unclassified non-coding RNA, 1277 nt
Filed under: Hevea brasiliensis (rubber tree)
Lineage: Eukaryota; Viridiplantae; Streptophyta; Magnoliopsida; Malpighiales; Euphorbiaceae
Source: RNAcentral
CGAUAAGCCACCAAACAACUUGCUAACACUUAAAAGCCUGAAACCCCAAAGCUCCACAGGCUAACUGCAACUAGCCAGAAAACCAAGAAAAUUAAUCGAGAGCAAUGACAACCACAAGAUUCUUACGUUCUUCUAGGCCUCUUCCUCAUGCUCCUCCUCCUGGUUCAACUUCUUCAUCUGUUUCGACGGUGAAAUGCAUCGGCAAAAAUACAUCUGGGUCGUUGGGCGGAGAGAAGAUGGUUUCAAGAGAUGGUGAUAAAAGGAGAUCAACGGCGGCUGCUGUGAAAGCGUCAGUAGCUGUUAGGGAGAGUUUGAUCAUUGCAGAGCCACGGGUUGAUGAGGGAAUAGAUUUGGCUUCUUUGUUUACAACUGUUGGUAAUGCUUUGUUUAAGUUUUUGAGACCUGCUGUUAAACGCAAGCCGUGGAAAAUACAGGUCCAGACGCUCAUUGAAAAGGCUAUAAUUGAUUGCCGGUUCUUUACUUUAUUUGCCACUGUGGGAGCAUUGCUUAGUUCAGUGUUGUGUUUUAUGGAGGGUUGCUUUCUCAUUCUGAAGUCCUACUUUCACUAUUUUGGUACGUUAUCUCAUAGUUCAGAUCAAGGAGAAGCUGGAGAAAUUGUGCAGCUACUUAUAGAAGCCAUUGACAUGUUCUUGGUAGGGACAGCAAUGCUUAUUUUUGGGGUAGGGUUGCAUGCCAUCUUUGUGGGAUCUAAGAAUUUGAAACAAAACGCACUGCUGCCAGGAUCAAGCCUUUUUGGGCUCUUCUUUUUGAAGUCUCUUCCAACAUGGGUGCAGAUGGAAUCAGUUUCCCAAGCCAAAUCUAGAAUUGGCCAUGCAGUCAUCAUGAUACUUCAAGUGGGAUUGUUGGAGAAAUUCAAGAAAAUACCUUUGGUUACUAGUUUGGAUUUUGCUUGUUUUGCUGGAGCUGUGCUGAUUUCCUCAGCUUGUAUAUUCAUUCUCUCAAAACUUUCUCUUGGUGGUAUUGCGAGAGAAGGCAGGUAGCAGAGGACGAAGAUUAUACGUACAAUGCAUAUAUAUUUGCCAAAUGACGGCCAAGAAGGAAUCAAACCUUAUUCUUUUGUUGGUCAUACAUCCUUUUUGUAUAUUCUACUGCAUACUUAUACAAUAGAAAUAAAAAUCCUAUUCCUAUUUCACCCAAAUUGAGGAAUGGAUACCAACAUUUGGAUUCCAUGUUCAAGCCUUCUGUAUCAAGAAGAACAAGAAGGAGAAAUGCCUCUUUAGUCUCUGAUUUUUGCAGUUUUGAAUAGUAGCAAGAAG